RNAcentral lists this ribosomal RNA (433 nucleotides) under uncultured bacterium. RNAcentral describes it as "partial 16S ribosomal RNA". It matches the Rfam family "Bacterial small subunit ribosomal RNA", at positions 29 to 507 of the family's 1533-position model. The record is from RNAcentral.
AACGAACGCUGGCGGCAUGCCUAACACAUGCAAGUCGAACGAGACCUUCGGGUCUAGUGGCGCACGGGUGCGUAACGCGUGGGAAUCUGCCCUUGGGUUCGGAAUAACAGUUGGAAACGACUGCUAAUACCGGAUGAUGACGUAAGUCCAAAGAUUUAUCGCCCAAGGAUGAGCCCGCGUAGGAUUAGCUAGUUGGUGAGGUAAAGGCUCACCAAGGCGACGAUCCUUAGCUGGUCUGAGAGGAUGAUCAGCCACACUGGGACUGAGACACGGCCCAGACUCCUACGGGAGGCAGCAGUGGGGAAUAUUGGACAAUGGGCGAAAGCCUGAUCCAGCAAUGCCGCGUGAGUGAUGAAGGCCCUAGGGUUGUAAAGCUCUUUUACCCGGGAUGAUAAUGACAGUACCGGGAGAAUAAGCUCCGGCUAACUCCGUG